Molecule: ribosomal RNA, 406 nt
Filed under: uncultured bacterium
Lineage: Bacteria
Description: partial 16S ribosomal RNA
Rfam family: Bacterial small subunit ribosomal RNA
Source: RNAcentral
AUUGAACGCUGGCGGCAGGCCUAACACAUGCAAGUCGAACGAGUGGCGGACGGGUGAGUAAUGUUUGGGAAUCUGGCUGAUGGAGGGGGAUAACGCCUGGAAACGGUAGCUAAUACCGCGUACCAUCGGAUGUGCCCAAUUGGGAUUAGGUAGUUGGUGGGGUAAAGGCCUACCAAGGCGACGAUCUCUAGCUGGUCGGAGAGGAUGACCAGCCACACCGGGACUGAGACACGGCCCUGACUCCUACGGGAGGCAGCAGUGGGGAAUAUUGCGCAAUGGGCGCAACCCUGACGCAGCCAUGCCGCGUGAAUGAAGAAGGCCUUCGGGUUGUAAAGUUCUUUCGGUAUGGAGGCGUUAAACGCAGAAGAAGCACCGGCUAACUCCGUGCCAGCAGCCGCGGUAAUUC